CACCGAAUCCACAAGAAAUGUUAAAGGAAUUUCUUUAAGCUGAAAUGAAAGGGGGCUAAUUAGUAACAGGAAAACAUAUGAGAGUAUAAAUUUCAUUGUAAAAAUAAAUAAACAGCAA
Long non-coding RNA from Herpailurus yagouaroundi (jaguarundi), 118 nucleotides. RefSeq lists it as uncharacterized. The transcript is spliced from 3 exons. The record is from RefSeq and is a predicted model, not a curated record. Lineage: Eukaryota; Metazoa; Chordata; Mammalia; Carnivora; Felidae.